This 645-nucleotide unclassified non-coding RNA is filed under the name Hevea brasiliensis (rubber tree). Lineage: Eukaryota; Viridiplantae; Streptophyta; Magnoliopsida; Malpighiales; Euphorbiaceae. The record is from RNAcentral.
GGCAGAAGCGCCACGCUACCCGAAUUGCAACGUCGUCGUUUAAUAUACAAGACCCUGCUUCUUUCUGCUUCUGCACCGCCUCUCCCGUCUUUAAAUUCUUCGCCUGGAAAAAUCAGUGCCGUACAGUAAGUGGCCCCCAAAUCUCUCCUAUUUCUUUAUAGAUUACACUGAAUCGCUACUACAAUUUUAUCUCUCUUCUGUAAUCCCUAAUACCCUAAUUUUAUUUUUGUUUUUUUCUUUCGUUUUUUUGUUCUUCUUCGUCAUCACCACUUGAAAACCCGAAUAAAUCCCUAAAUCAAAUUUAUUCUUCACAUUAUUGAAAUCUUGGAUCGGCAUUUCUGUUUUCUUUUUAUAUUGUUGAUUCGCAGCUGAGUCAACUCAUUGACCCACUCACCAGGUCAUCCCAUUCACGUUAGUUUCUCCAUUUCCGUACUCUACUUGUUUUAGCUGUUAGCAUCCGGUUUUCAACUGAGUUAACUCAUUGGCUGUCUCAGUGAGUUGUUGUUCAAAGAAAUUUUCUUGGAAAAUUCGAGAUUUUGAAGUCGUGGUUAGGUACUGAAAAGAGGGAUGGGAAAAAUGGAGGGUAGCAAAGGUUCUGGUGGAAUUGGUGGGGAUAAUGGGAGCUCCAGCGAGGGUCGGCCUCCG